CGGUGCAAGGUGUGGCCUUCACGCUUAUUGCCCAUCGCUUUCACAUUGACGUGUGCCUCUGCUGCUGCUGUAGUGUCCGCAUCUCUCAUCUUUUUUUUUGCGUUGCUUGUAAGGCACUUAUAUCCGCCUUUGAAGUGCGCCUACGUUUUGCAUGUGUGUGUGUAUGCAUUGUGUGUUUUGGUGCUCUUCGCUAAUAAUAAGUCUCAUCCCCUUCAUGCGCGACGUGCGUCUGAACACGCGUUCACGCACGUGCGUUUUGGCGUGCUCAGACUUCUGUCUCCGUUUUUCGCUGUUCGCUUUACAGUAUAUUGCACAUAUAUAUAUGUGCUAUUUAUAAUAAUAAUAUAUAUACACCUAUAUGUAUUUAUUUAUAUAUAUAUAUUUUUUUUGGUUUUGCUGAUCGUUUUAUCGUCGGAGCGAAACGCUGUGCAUCAACGAGCAGCGUCUGACAUCUACCGCGAUAGGACACAGGUGAGAGAAGCGAGAAAGAAUAUUCCCACAAGAGCCUCACCGGGUUCUACGAAGUUGUGCUUUCAAGUAGGAUGAACACGGCGACUGUGAUGAUGGCGCGCGGCCCGGUCACCCCACACCGCCGCCUUAGUAGAUGCACCAGCGCGCUCUGUUGUGCCAUCGCGAUCGCACUGUUUUGUGCUCUUUGUUGCGAAGUCAGCGCGCUGGAGGUGGGCAAGUUUUUUCCCGCCAAGACGCGCAUGAGCGCGAAGGAUCGUUACGAAUCUGUUCUGGCGCUGCAGUCUCUGCAGCGCGCGAUCGACGACCCUGAGCUGCAAAAGGAGGUAGAGUCCGCGCUCAAGGACACAACGAGGGGCUUCGACAUGUGCCGAUCGGCGCUGUACCGCUGCAACCGCGUGACCGGCGCUCUCGAGGAGGCGGUCAUCGAGGGCAUGCGAGACGGAACUGUGAAGUGGGACGAGUAUCCCAAGUCGGUGAAGCGGAUCCGCAUCACGGACUCGAGGCUGAGGCAGCCACUCGUGCUCUCCAGCUUACCUGCGAACCUUGAGGAAUUCGUGGCAACGAACGUGGAGUGGGAGUCCGACUCGAUUCUUCAGGCCCCAGGGAGUGGCGAGGGGGGAGUUGUGAAGGGGCCCUUGGCUCAUCUUCGCGUUUUGCAAUGUGACAACUGCGCUCUCGUGAAGGCAGAGGUGACGACGACGACACCCCAGCUGGAGUGGCUGCAGGUGUUGAGCCUUUCCGGCAAUCCAGACUUGUUCAUCGAUCUCCGCGAGCUGCCGCGCAACCUCCAAUCUCUGCAGCUCUCGUACACACAGCUGGCUCACUCCACGGUCAGGGAGGUAUUGGAGACUGCGCCGGCGUUUCUCUCGCUGCUGAAUAUCAGCUUCACCGGUGUUGCUCUGACCCUCGACAUGCUGCCGUCUGCACGGAAUCAGCUGAAGGCGUUGGAUGUGUCCGGCCUGGAAAGCAACAACCCGGGGUCACCUCUGUCUCUCUCUCAGCUGCAAAGCGCGUGUGGCGAAAGUGGCUUCAGCCUCGCAGAACUGUACCUCACCAGGUGCAGCCUGACGGGCACCCUCCCUCACCUUCGUAACUGCACGAAGCUGAAGGUGAUGGAUGUGUCGCACAACCUCCUCGAUGGCGCCGUGUUCGCUCAACUCCCCGAGAACAUAGAGUUGCUGCGUCUCAACAACAAUGCGAUACAGGGUGGCCUGCGCACCAGCGAACUCCCGCGCACUCUGCGCUCCCUUGAUCUUUCUGAAAACCAUUUCACGGGUGAGGUCGACCUCUCGGCACUGCCGCCGCAGCUGCAGUACCUCAACAUUGGCCACAAUCACUUCAGCGGCCAGGUGAACCUCACGCAGCUACCCGAGUCUGUCAAGUUUGUGUACAUGGAGUAUAACAACUUCACCGGCGCGGCUGACCUCGUCGACCUCCCACUCGGCAUCCGUUUUAUCAUGGUCCACCACAACAACUGGGACUACCUCAUGCCCGCCCCGUGAGAUGGGCCAGCACCAUUUAAGGCGAAAAAGCCGGCGGAAGGGUGCGGCGUUCUUAUUGUGGUGCUCGUGGUGGCAGCCUCAGCUCUCCGUCUUGCUCACCCUCUGCAUCUGAGCCGUUCACCUCCGUCUUCGUCUCUCUCUUUCUCCCCAUGCCAGUGCGCACGUACGUAUCUGCUUUUGGUGGUGAUUAAGCGCGGGGGUGGCGUAGCCAGGCGGUGGCGGCAGGGUUGGGGGGCAUCAAGUCAACAUUGUGCCUGGUUUAUGAGCAGCGAGCACCUUUGGGCUGUAGCACGUGUUGAGGAGAGUAAUAUCCAGCGCAUUCUUGUGUGACUAUCAUUUCGUGCGCCAUGUUACCUUCUCCUGCUCGCCCUUUUUUUUCCUAACACCAUUCGGUUACUUUUUUUCUGCUGCUUUUAG
Molecule: unclassified non-coding RNA, 2390 nt
Filed under: Leishmania donovani
Lineage: Eukaryota; Euglenozoa; Kinetoplastea; Trypanosomatida; Trypanosomatidae
Description: gene:LdHU3.29.3310(CDS-product:Leucine_Rich_Repea t/Leucine_rich_repeat_putative)
Source: RNAcentral